GUUUUGGUAGCCUAAAACAAGGCAUCGGUCUUGUAAACCGAAGACUGAAGGUGAAAACCCUCCCCAAAACA
Molecule: transfer RNA, 71 nt
Filed under: Pavoraja nitida (peacock skate)
Lineage: Eukaryota; Metazoa; Chordata; Chondrichthyes; Rajiformes; Arhynchobatidae
Description: tRNA-Thr
Rfam family: tRNA
About the family: Transfer RNA (tRNA) molecules are approximately 80 nucleotides in length. Their secondary structure includes four short double-helical elements and three loops (D, anti-codon, and T loops).
Source: RNAcentral